UACGUAGGGUGCAAGCGUUGCCCGGAUUCAUUGGGCGUAAAGCGCGCGCAGGCGGCCCACCAAGUCCCGCGUGAAAUCGCCCGGCUCAACCGGGCGGGGUCGCGGGAGACUGGGGGCUCGAGCGAGGGAGGGGCAGUGGAAUUCCCGGUGUAGUGGUGGAAUGCGUAGAUAUCGGGAGGAACACCAGUGGCGAAGGCGGCUGCCUGGACCUCUGGCUGACGCUGAGGCGCGAAAGCGUGGGGAGCAAACAGGG
Molecule: ribosomal RNA, 253 nt
Filed under: uncultured bacterium
Lineage: Bacteria
Description: partial 16S ribosomal RNA
Rfam family: Bacterial small subunit ribosomal RNA
Source: RNAcentral